Molecule: long non-coding RNA, 1012 nt
Organism: Acipenser ruthenus (sterlet)
Lineage: Eukaryota; Metazoa; Chordata; Actinopteri; Acipenseriformes; Acipenseridae
Exons: 3
Source: RefSeq, a predicted model, not a curated record
CACACCACACACAGAGACUGAGUUGUAGAGAGUUGCAGUCUGGUGAAAUGGUUCUGAGUUGAAGGAACAAAGGGAAGGAUUAUGGAUAUUCACUUACAAGAUAAGUCAACAGUAUAACGCUGCAUGUAGAGAAUAUUAAAUGUCGAUUAUUGUUGGACUGCAUCUAAAAGUGUGGUUGCAUGACCUCAGCCAUCAGCUGUGUACACAGGAGGUCCAAAAGACGCAGGUACUCACACACUGCCACUUAUGAGGGACGUGCCAAUAUUAAUGAGCUAUGUGUUUUGGAUCUGUUUCAAAGGCACCCGCAUUGUUGACAUCGCUGCUACGGAGUGAAAGGCAUGACCCGGGAGAUUGAAUACCAGCAGUACAACACACACCCGAACUGCGAGGCCCUACUCUGCGUUAAGUACAAGUGGCUGUGUCGGAAGACAAUUCGUAGAGCAGGGAGGGAGAAAGCGGGGUGGCGCUUGGAGUGGGAAGUGCUGUUCAUAUCCUCUUUUUCUACAGGAACUACAGUGCGGUGUCGUGAGGGUGCGAAGGUGGCAGAAGAUAUUGUUGUGUCUGUGAAUGUAUCCACCAGGGCCUAGAGGAGAUCAAGCAGGACGUUUCCAUUAUGUUAUAACUACCUUCAUCAUACCAGCGAUAUAAACAGCACAGAGCAUACAGCGAACGGUUUACAGGAUUGGAUCUCGAGGCCCCCAAGGGCCCAGGUGAUAUUGAUAUAUAAUUUUGCCACAUGAAGAGGAGAGACUGAGUAUGCUACCAUGUGACAGAUAGAGGAACCCCCUAAAAAGAGGUGCUGUCAGUUGAAAGAGGCUUUGAAUGGGAGAAAAAAAAGGUUUUCCAAAAGGCUGUGAGGAUAAAAGCACUGGAAGCCUUCCCACCAGCUUUGUAGUACAGGGGGAGAGAAGCACAAUCUACUAUCUCGGACAGUGGACCUCUGUCUCCGUGUUUGAGCUGCCUGCUUCAAGACCCAUCAUUAUUAAGUAACUCUGUCAGUGACUGAGCUUGG